GAUGAACGCUGGCGGCGUGCCUAAUACAUGCAAGUCGAGCGAACAGAUGAGGAGCUUGCUCCUCUGACGUUAGCGGCGGACGGGUGAGUAACACGUGUAUAACCUCCCUAUAAGACUGGUAUAACUUCGGGAAACCGGCGCUAAUACCGGAUAAUAUAUUGAACCGCAUGGUUCAAUAGUGAAAGACGGUUUUGCUGUCACUUAUCGAUGCUUCCGCGCCGCAUUAGCUAGUUGGUACGGUAACGGCUUACCAAGGCAACGAUGCGUAGCCGACGUGAGAGAGGGAUCGCCGACCCUGGAGGUGAGACACGGUCAAGACGCCUGAGGGAGGCAGCAGAAGGGAAUGGGACGCAAUGGGCGAAAGCAUGACGGAGCAAGGGGGCGUGAGUGAUGAAGGUGUUCGGAUCGUAAAACUCGGUUAUUAGGGAAAAACAAAUGUGGAAGGAAAUAUGCAGGGAUUGACGGUAACGAAUCAGAAAGCCACGGCUAACUACGUG
This 497-nucleotide ribosomal RNA is filed under the name uncultured bacterium. RNAcentral describes it as "partial 16S ribosomal RNA". It matches the Rfam family "Bacterial small subunit ribosomal RNA", at positions 28 to 507 of the family's 1533-position model. The record is from RNAcentral.